This 460-nucleotide ribosomal RNA is filed under the name uncultured bacterium. Its description in RNAcentral is "partial 16S ribosomal RNA". It matches the Rfam family "Bacterial small subunit ribosomal RNA", at positions 338 to 795 of the family's 1533-position model. The record is from RNAcentral.
CCUACGGGAGGCUGCAGUGAGGAAUAUUGGUCAAUGGCCGGAAGGCUGAACCAGCCAAGCCGCGUGAAGGACGAAGGUGCCAAGCAUUGUAAACUUCUUUUGUCAAGGGACAAAAUCAGGCUCGAGAGCCUGACCGAGGGUACUUGAAGAAAAAGCAUCGGCUAACUACGUGCCAGCAGCCGCGGUAAUACGUAGGGGGCAAGCGUUAUCCGGAUUUACUGGGUGUAAAGGGAGCGUAGACGGCGAUGCAAGUCUGAAGUGAAAGGCGGGGGCCCAACCCCCGGACUGCUUUGGAAACUGUAUGGCUGGAGUGCAGGAGAGGUAAGUGGAAUUCCUAGUGUAGCGGUGAAAUGCGUAGAUAUCACGAAGAACCCCGAUUGCGAAGGCAGCCUGCCGCAGCGUUACUGACGCUGAAGCUCGAAAGCGCGGGUAUCGAACAGGAUUAGAUACCCUGGUAGUC